This 443-nucleotide ribosomal RNA is filed under the name uncultured Agromyces sp. Its description in RNAcentral is "bacterial SSU rRNA". It matches the Rfam family "Bacterial small subunit ribosomal RNA", at positions 341 to 792 of the family's 1533-position model. The record is from RNAcentral. Lineage: Bacteria; Bacillati; Actinomycetota; Actinomycetes; Micrococcales; Microbacteriaceae.
ACGGAAGGCAGCAGUGGGGAAUAUUGCACAAUGGGCGCAAGCCUGAUGCAGCAACGCCGCGUGGGGGAUGACGGCCUUCGGGUUGUAAACCUCUUUUAGUAGGGAAGAAGGGCUUCGGCUUGACGGUACCUGCAGAAAAAGGACCGGCUAACUACGUGCCAGCAGCCGCGGUAAUACGUAGGGUCCGAGCGUUGUCCGGAAUUAUUGGGCGUAAAGAGCUCGUAGGCGGUUUGUCGCGUCUGCUGUGAAAUCCCGAGGCUCAACCUCGGGUCUGCAGUGGGUACGGGCAGACUGGAGUGCGGUAGGGGAGAAUGGAAUUCCUGGUGUAGCGGUGGAAUGCGCAGAUAUCAGGAGGAACACCGAUGGCGAAGGCAGUUCUCUGGGCCGUAACUGACGCUGAGGAGCGAAAGCGUGGGGAGCGAACAGGAUUAGAUACCCUGGUA